GGAUGCGAUCAUACCAGCACUAAAGCACCGGAUCCCAUCAGAACUUCAAAGUUAAGCGUGCUUGGGCAAGAGUAGUACUAGGAUGGGUGACCUCCUGGGUAGUCCUCGUGUUGCAUUCC
RNAcentral lists this ribosomal RNA (119 nucleotides) under Triticum aestivum (bread wheat). The record is from RNAcentral. Lineage: Eukaryota; Viridiplantae; Streptophyta; Magnoliopsida; Poales; Poaceae. RNAcentral also lists the same sequence under 1 other name.